RNAcentral lists this ribosomal RNA (1858 nucleotides) under Solanum melongena (eggplant). RNAcentral's name for it is "bacterial LSU rRNA". It matches the Rfam family "Bacterial large subunit ribosomal RNA", at positions 1 to 2024 of the family's 2925-position model. Lineage: Eukaryota; Viridiplantae; Streptophyta; Magnoliopsida; Solanales; Solanaceae. The record is from RNAcentral.
UCAAGCGUCUUAAGGGCAUCUGGUGGAUGCCUUGGCACUGAGAGGCGAUGAAGGACGUGGCACGCUGCGAAAAGUCAUGGGGAGCUGCGAGCAAGCUUUGAUCCGUGAAUAUCCGAAUGGGGAAACCCACCUAGCAAUAGGUAUCCUUGACUGAAUCCAUAGGUCAAGGAAGCGAACCCGGGGAACUGAAACAUCUCAGUACCUGGAGGGAAAAGAAAUCAACCGAGAUUCCGCUAGUAGUGGCGAGCGAACGCGGACCAGGCCAGUGGUCAAUGCGAUAUAACUGGAACCGUCUGGAAAGUCGGGCCAAAGCGGGUGAUAGCCCCGUACAGGUAAAACAGCAUUGAUCCACGAGUAAGGCGGGACACGUGAAAUCCUGUCUGAACAUGGGGGGACCACCCUUUAAGGCUAAGUACUCUCAUGCGACCGAUAGUGAACUAGUACCGUGAGGGAAGGGUGAAAAGUACCCCGGAAGGGGAGUGAAAUAGAUCCUGAAACCGUGUGCAUACAAACAGUAGGAGCAGACCGCGGUGUGACUGCUACCUUUUGUAUAAUGGGUCAGCGACUUACAGUCGGCAAGCAAGCUUAAGCCGUUAGGCGAAGGGCAGCGAAAGCGAGUCUGAAUAGGGCGCUUGAGUUGCCGGUUGUAGACCCGAAACCUGAUGAUCUAGCCAUGGCCAGGUUGAAGGUGCAGUAACAUGCACUGGAGGACCGAACCCGUGAAUGUUGAAAAAUUCUGGGAUGACCUGUGGAUAGGGGUGAAAGGCUAAACAAACUCCGGAGAUAUCUGGUUCUCUGCGAAAGCUAUUUAGGUAGCGCGUCGGAUGUUUACCGCCGGGGGUAGAGCACUGGAUGGGCUAUGGGGACUCACCGUCUUACUGAUCCUAACCAAACUCCGAAUACCGCAGAGUACAGCUUUGGCAGACAGACACCGGUGCUAGUCCGUAUCGUCAAAAGGGAAACAGCCUCAGACCGCCAGCUAAGGUCCCCAAGUGGCGGAUUAAGUGGUAAACGAAGUGGGAUUGAUUGACAGCAGGAUUGUUAGCUUAGAAGGCAGCCAUCCUUUAAAGAAAGCGUAAUAGCUCACUGGUCUAGAUAAGCCGGCCUGCGCCGAAAAUGUAACGGGGCUUAAGCCACCCACCGAAGCUGCGGGUUCAAUCGCAAGAUUGAGCGGUAGCGGAGCGUUCCGUAAGCCGUCGAAGGUGUGUCGCGAGGUUGCUGGAGGUAUCAGAAGUGCCGAAUGCUGACAUGAGUAGCGAUUAUGCGGGUGAAAAGCCCGUCGCCGAAAGUCCAAGGGUUCCUGCGCAAGGUUAAUCCACACUGGGUUGAGUCGAUCCUAAGGCGAGGCCGAAAGGCGUAGUCGAUGGGAACCACGUUAAUAUUCGUGGGCCUGCGGGUGAGUGACGGAUCUGAAAACCAGUAUGCUCUUAUCGGAUUGAGUGUGCUGCGGACAGGUUCCAGGAAAUAGCCCCCGCAUAUAGACCGUACCCGAAACCGACACAGGUGGUCAGGUCGAGUAUACCAAGGCGCUUGAGAGAACGGUGUUGAAGGAACUCGGCAAAUUACUUGCGUAACUUCGGGAUAAGCAAGCCCCGUUUCUGGGCAACCAGGGGCGGGGGACACAAACCAGGGGGUAGCGACUGUUUACUAAAAACACAGGUCCGUGCGAAGUCGUAAGACGAUGUAUACGGACUGACUCCUGCCCGGUGCCGGAAGGUUAAAAGGAGGUGUGCAAGCACUGAACUUAAGCCCCAGUAAACGGCGGUGGUAACUAUAACCAGUCCUAAGGUAGCGAAAUUCCUUGUCGCAUAAGUUCGCGACCUGCACGAAUGUGUAACGACUUGCCCCGCUGUCUCCU